This 72-nucleotide transfer RNA is filed under the name Bos taurus (domestic cattle). It matches the Rfam family "tRNA". Rfam says of the family: Transfer RNA (tRNA) molecules are approximately 80 nucleotides in length. Their secondary structure includes four short double-helical elements and three loops (D, anti-codon, and T loops). Lineage: Eukaryota; Metazoa; Chordata; Mammalia; Artiodactyla; Bovidae. RNAcentral also lists the same sequence under 4 other names. The record is from Rfam by way of RNAcentral.
UCUCUACUGGCUCAGAUGGUAAAGAAUCUGCCUGCAAUGCAGGAGACCUGGGUUUGAUCUCUGGGUAGGGAA